GACAGCAUCAAACGGAAGUGAGAGAUGUAUUCAUCUGGCUGCUUUCCACUGAGUCGGGGCAAAGCUGGAAAGUUUUAAGGCCAGUCAAAGAUGUGGUCCUCAGGAGUGGUCUUGGGUAUGGGAGUAAUCUCUACUUCCUCAAGUCUUUCUUGUUUGCCAGACAUUCCAUCUAUGUGAAGAAAGCUAUGCUCUGCACUCCUGGCCAUCAAGCUAUGCUAUGCACACCUGGUAUCUCCAGUAGUGACCCACCUGUGUCUACACAGCUCUGGAGGUGAUCAUUCAAUUGUCUUCAUAGCUCCAGGAGUGACCCACCUGACUGUUCAUGCAGCUCUGGAGGUGACCAUGCAACUGUCCAUCACCCACACAUUCCCAGAAAUGGCCUUCCGAUAGCAUAGCUGCAUAAGUGAACAUUUAACAGUCACCUUUCAGAGGUGACACACCCAACUGUAUCUUCAUAGCCACGCCCCCCCAUUCAGCUUCCUGUCUUUACCAAUAUGGGUUCUCCACACUUCAUAAUUGUUUUAUCUGAAAGGGAUUUUUACAGUUAUGGAAGCCACUCAAA
This 562-nucleotide long non-coding RNA is filed under the name Mus pahari (shrew mouse). RNAcentral's name for it is "lncRNA (MGP_PahariEiJ_G0005893.1)". The record is from RNAcentral. Lineage: Eukaryota; Metazoa; Chordata; Mammalia; Rodentia; Muridae.